GGACGUGUGGCUUCUUUGGAGUUCUUUUGAGAGUGAUGUGUUUCCAUGAGCCUCAACACAACUGAAAGUGAAGCUCCCAGAGCUGUGUGAGUCCCACCUACCUCCAUGCUCCUGGAUAGCACAACCUGAAUGUGUUGGAAUUUGGCUGAAAUGUGGCAAUUAGUAAUCUUUUCCCUGCAAAAGCCAGAACUCAGAAUUUCUCCAGCAGAAGAUAUUAUAGCCUUGGCCUGCUUUUACCCGGCUUCCUUCCUUGUGGCAUGGCUGGAAAAGGACUAUGUGUAAGGCUGAUGAAGUCCACACCAGAUUAGAGCUUUCUUUAAAUGCUUCCAAGGCUUGAAAACUGAAGAUUGCCAUAAGGCUUGUUGGAGUUCUUCAUUAAAUCCAGAAUCUGCAUCAAAUGAUCUGUAGUAUUCUGCAGCACAUAAAGGUUUCAAAGCAACAAUUACUCUAUUAUUUCAGUAGAGAUUACCUGUUUGAAAUGAAAACCCACACUGAAUCCUUUCUGACCUGGUCCUUAUUGUGAUACUGAUAACAAGCCACACUUUCCAGUCUUUAUCUUACCUCCUACAGGGUAAUCUUUUCUUGUGGAGCUUAAUUCUGCUAAUAGCACCCUUGACUGGGUGCCAGACAACAAACAUAAGCAGGUGAAAAAUGAAUGGCUCCAGUCUGACCGCUGAUAACUGCUAGAGACUUUUUAUUCUUGGAAUUCCCUCCAAAAUAUACAAGUUGACUGGUGGGUAAUCAAUUACAUUCCUUGUAUGCUUCGCCCUCCUUCAGACUGGGUAUUCUUUGAAAGAAAUUGUGAUGAUCUUUUCUACAGUUUCAGAUUCUCUUUUUUUCCCUCUUCCUCCAAACAACAGUAAAUAGUAAUUCCAGAU
This is a long non-coding RNA of Neopsephotus bourkii (Bourke's parrot), 878 nucleotides long. RefSeq lists it as uncharacterized. The transcript is spliced from 3 exons. Lineage: Eukaryota; Metazoa; Chordata; Aves; Psittaciformes; Psittacidae. The record is from RefSeq and is a predicted model, not a curated record.